UACGGAAGGGGCAAGCGUUGUUCGGAAUCAUUGGGCGUAAAGGGCGCGUAGGUGGUUCUGUAUGUCUACCGUGAAAGCGUACGGCUCAACCGUAUUUUGUCGGUAGAAACUGCAGGACUUGAGGCUGGGAGGGGCUGGUGGAAUUCCCUGUGUAGCGGUGAAAUGCGUAGAUAUCGUAAGGAAGACCAGUGGCGAAGGCGGGUCUCUGGACAGUUCCUGACGCUGAGGCACGAAGGUCAGGGGAGCAAACGGG
Molecule: ribosomal RNA, 253 nt
Filed under: uncultured bacterium
Lineage: Bacteria
Description: partial 16S ribosomal RNA
Rfam family: Bacterial small subunit ribosomal RNA
Source: RNAcentral